GAAUUGAGGAACAUAGUGUAUAUGGGCAAUGGUUGUGAUGGAUGAUGGUUGCCAUAUACAUGGGUGGUCGAAUCCCUCAGAUAUCAACUUUACUUUCAUGACAUAUAGAAUGGUCAAUAUUGAAGUGGUCUAUCCCAUUUGAUGUUUCAAGAUUGGCAAUGAUCUUUUUCAAUUUGUGGGGCCUCUUAUCUUGAAUCAACUCUACAGAGGUUUUGUAAGCUCUUGAGAAAUUAAGAACUGGAGCAUGGGUAUUCACUUCUGCUCUCACAUUUUAAAGAAAGCCAUCACUGAUCUACUACUCUUUUUAUUAUAAAGU
Long non-coding RNA from Humulus lupulus (European hop), 316 nucleotides. RefSeq lists it as uncharacterized. Lineage: Eukaryota; Viridiplantae; Streptophyta; Magnoliopsida; Rosales; Cannabaceae. The record is from RefSeq and is a predicted model, not a curated record. The transcript has 3 exons.